UAGCAUACGGAUAAGCAUCGGCUAACUCCGUGCCAGCAGCCGCGGUAAUACGGAGGAUGCAAGCGUUAUCCGGAUUUAUUGGGUUUAAAGGGUCCGUAGGCGGGCUAAUAAGUCAGCGGUGAAAUCCUGCAGCUCAACUGCAGACCUGCCGUUGAUACUGUUAGUCUUGAAUAGUAUUGAAGUAGCUAGAAUGUGUAGUGUAGCGGUGAAAUGCAUAGAUAUUACACAGAAUACCAAUUGCGAAGGCAGGUUACUAAUUACUGAUUGACGCUGAUGGACGAAAGCGUGGGUAGCGAACAGGAUUAGAUACCCUGGUAGUCCACGCUGUAAACGAUGGAUACUCGUUGUUGGAGGAUUUAUUCUUCAGUGACUAAGCGAAAGUAAUAAGUAUCCCACCUGGGGAGUACGAUCGCAAGAUUGAAACU
RNAcentral lists this ribosomal RNA (425 nucleotides) under uncultured Bacteroidota bacterium. RNAcentral describes it as "bacterial SSU rRNA". It matches the Rfam family "Bacterial small subunit ribosomal RNA", at positions 476 to 901 of the family's 1533-position model. Lineage: Bacteria; Pseudomonadati; Bacteroidota. The record is from RNAcentral.